Molecule: long non-coding RNA, 1129 nt
Organism: Magnolia sinica
Lineage: Eukaryota; Viridiplantae; Streptophyta; Magnoliopsida; Magnoliales; Magnoliaceae
Exons: 2
Source: RefSeq, a predicted model, not a curated record
GUUUGAAGUACAUUAUAGGAAAGGGCAUGACUGACCAAAUUUGUCAAAUAGGCAUAUUAAUCUCAGUUGGUGAACAGAAAUAAUGUUCAAGCAUAUUUUAGUCGAGAUGGUGAUGAAUGUAGUGUAAACCAUUUUGAGAAGGGUUUUUGGUGUUUCACUUGCUUGUGAAACCGGUUAUUCAACAUGGAAGUUCAUCCUCCAGUUAGAUCCUACGUUAUUCUAUCUCUUGAAUAUUACUAUCUAUUUCGGCAAAUAUCCUUCAGUUAUAUUUUCUUUGUUCAUUAUAAAUCUCAUUUUGGUAUUUCUCUUUUGUAAGGCUCAACUAAUGGCACAAUUCGCUCAAACCUUUUGGCACUCGCUGCUUCAAGCGUAUAACUUGAAUUUUCAUUUAGGAUUGUGAAAUACAUUAUAAUACAAGCUAUUCAAGUUUAUUAUGUUUAUUUUGUCUCGUUUUGUAUUCUCAUGGAGUCGAUCCCAUCAUAUGUAAAUGAUUUGAGAGGAUUUUUUUUUUUUUUUUCAUCAUCGAUGUGGUGUCCAAUACUUAAAAUUGAUCCGGAGGUCACUCAUAAUUUCUUUAUUUCUUUCUUAUGUUGCUUACAAUUGUUUAUUCUGUCUUAUGUUGCUUACAAUCGUUUAUUCUGUAAAGUUGAUUUGACUUUGUUUCUCAAAUAUUUGCAGAUGACAAUCAAUUAUAUGAGUAGCAAAGAGAAUAACAUACUUAUGGAGAGAGAUGGUUUUUCAUCGCCAAUGGUGGGUUGAUCCUCUUCAGGCCUGAUCAUAGUUGCCCACUCCAGUUUGCAAGAGCUACAGUGUUUCUUAGUAAAUUAUACAAAGAAUAUCUUGGUAUUAUUAGGAGUUAUGGGGGGAGUUGUGGUUCUCAGUCAUUUUCCAUGACGUGUCAUUUGUUGAUAAUGUGGGUUUAAAGCUCAUCAUGUUGUGUGCAUGAUAUCCAAUUUUUCCAUCACAUUCGCCACCACAUUUUCUUCUUAUAUGCCAAAACUUAGGCCCAUUCAAUUCUUAGAAUUCAACUACAUUAAUUAUUUCGGUGGUUUAAUCCAAACUGUCCAAAAUUUGUUUCUUGAUUUAACUUUGGUUUACACUUUAGUUUGAAUGUAAUCGUUAUCUGAAC